RNAcentral lists this ribosomal RNA (147 nucleotides) under Impagidinium sp. RNAcentral describes it as "5.8S ribosomal RNA". It matches the Rfam family "5.8S ribosomal RNA". Rfam says of the family: 5.8S ribosomal RNA (5.8S rRNA) is a component of the large subunit of the eukaryotic ribosome. It is transcribed by RNA polymerase I as part of the 45S precursor that also contains 18S and 28S rRNA. The record is from RNAcentral. Lineage: Eukaryota; Dinophyceae.
AUCAUUUUCAACUAUGGAUGCCUUAAUUCAAACAACGAUGAAGGGUGCAGUGAAGUGUGCUAAUCAUUGUGACUUGCAGAAUUCCGUGAACCAAUGGGUUGUUGAAUGUGUCAUGUGCUUUGGGAUUCUUCCUGAAAGCAUGCCUUC